RNAcentral lists this ribosomal RNA (798 nucleotides) under uncultured archaeon. Its description in RNAcentral is "bacterial SSU rRNA". It matches the Rfam family "Archaeal small subunit ribosomal RNA", at positions 88 to 888 of the family's 1478-position model. The record is from RNAcentral.
GCUCAGUAACACGUGGACAACGUACCCUAAAGUGGAGCAUAAUCUCGGGAAACUGAGGAUAAUUCUCCAUAGACCAUGAGAUCUGGAAUGACUUAUGGUUCAAAGUUCCGGCGCUUUAGGAUCGGUCUGCGGCCUAUCAGGUAGUAGUGGGUGUAACGUACCCCCUAGCCGUUGACGGGUAUGGGCCUUGAGAGAGGGAGCCCAGAGUUGGAUUCUGAGACACGAAUCCAGGCCCUACGGGGCGCAGCAGUCGCGAAAACUUCACAAUGGGCGAAAGCCCGAUGAGGGAAUUCCUAGUGCUAGCACUUUUGUGCUAGCUUUUCUUCAGCGUAGAUAACUGGAGGAAUAAGGGCUGGGUAAGACGGGUGCCAGCCGCCGCGGUAAUACCCGCAGCCCGAGUGGUGGUCGAUUUUAUUGAGUCUAAAACGUUCGUAGCCGGUCUAAUAAAUCCUUGGGUAAAUCGGAAGGCUUAACUUUCCGAAUUCCGAGGAGACUGUUAGGCUUGGGAUCGGGAGAGGUAAGAGGUACUUCAGGGGUAGGGGUAAAAUCCUGUAAUCCUUGGAGGACCACCGGUGGCGAAGGCGUCUUACUAGAACGAAUCCGACGGUGAGGGACGAAGCCCUAGGUCGCAAACGGGAUUAGAUACCCCGGUAGUCUAGGGUGUAAACGCUGCAGACUUGGUGUUGGGGGCCCUUCGGGGGCAUUCAGUGCCGGAGAGAAGUUGUUAAGUCUGCUACUUGGGGAGUACGUCCGCAAGGAUGAAACUUAAAGGAAUUGGCGGGGGAGCACCGCAACGGG